CUCAGCAAACAUUUACUGAGCAACUGCCCCAUGCCAGGUGCUGGGAACAGACCCAAGUGAGACCCAUUCCUCCCUCUAGAGGCACGUGGUCAGACAUGUAAGGUGUCUAAGGCCUGUGGACAGCUGACCGCUGACCAGGUGGAGUCGCAGCCUGCAGAGGCUCUGCCGGGCACAAAGCCAGAGGCUCCUGGAGCCAGGCUGGGGAGCGUGGCUCGGCCACCCUGGCCAGGUCCGGCCGCCCCAUCAGCUUCAUGGUGGUUUUCAUCACCCCCAACCCCCUGAGCAAGAUUUCCUGGGUCAACAGGUUACAUUUGGCCAAAAUCGGACUCCGGGAGGAGAACCAGCCAGGCUGGCUAUGCCCGGAUGAGGACAAGAAGAGCAAAGCCCCGUUCUGGUGCCCGAUCCUGGCCUGCUGCAUCCCUGCCUUCUCCUCCCGGGCACUCAGCCUGCAGCUUGGGGCCCUGGUCCACAGUCCUGUCAAC
Molecule: small RNA, 482 nt
Filed under: Pongo abelii (Sumatran orangutan)
Lineage: Eukaryota; Metazoa; Chordata; Mammalia; Primates; Hominidae
Description: processed transcript
Source: RNAcentral